CGUGAAACGCGGUAACCUCCAUCUGCAGCAAGACCAAAUAGGCCAGUAAGCUAUGAAAGUAGCAAGGCGUGGCUCGCGUCACUGGCGGGUAGGUUGCUUGAGCGCAUAAGUAAUUGUGCGCCUAGAUGAAUGACUGUUACGUGUAGUAGUGCACGACAGAACCCGGCUUAUCGG
This 174-nucleotide non-coding RNA is filed under the name Methylophilaceae bacterium. The record is from RNAcentral. Lineage: Bacteria; Pseudomonadati; Pseudomonadota; Betaproteobacteria; Nitrosomonadales; Methylophilaceae.